CUGCUAAAUACGUCAUGUUUCUAUGCAAUUCAAAGGCAGUGAAUUCUGGUUAAUCUUGAUUUUUACAUUCUUGCCGUUUCUAACAUAACUCAUGCAUUAUACUUAUUUGCUGCAGAUGUCUGUGUCUGAUCCCCCUGAUAUCAUACCUGUGCCGAAGCCUCGCUCGAGAUAUUUACGUGGAGUAGGUGUAGGUGAAAGAAAUGGUCUGUUGCCUUGUCCAGAUGUUAAGGCUGAUACACAGACGAAAUCUGAAGAAACUGACAUCAAGCAUGAAGUUAGUGUGGACGGUUCAUCUAGACAGCUGCGUUCCACCUCUGAACUCCCUGAUCCUCAAGAUGUUAAAACCAGCUGCAGUGAAACGCUUCCAUGGCCAGAAUCUCUCUGCAUUAGUACCAGUUCAUCUCCGGAUGCAGCAAGAGCUGCUGAUGUAGUGUCUUCUGAUGAUUGCCCUGCGACUCCAGACUCGCUCAGUAAUGACCAGCACGAUUCAGACAAAGCAAGUUUCACAGAUCAGGUGAUGGAUGUUCGGACAGAAAUUUGCACCAAUGGAGAGAUCCAGCAAGUUCCUAAAUCACAGGAUCUUCAGAACAAAGCUGACAGACCCAAUAAACCACGGGCUGCAACCAUUCGUGUGAGCAGGAAGAAGCAGACGUUAUCAGGGCAGCGCCAGAGAGCCGACGUGUCUCACAGUGAGUGUGCGGUGGCACAAUCCAGCUGGCUCGACGUAUGGAAGGGACGCAAGUAACUAACGCUACACAAUCCCUGAAAUCACAUAAAAACUUAAGAACUUCCUGCAGUAUAGGCAUUUAAAACGGC
This 816-nucleotide long non-coding RNA is filed under the name Sinocyclocheilus anshuiensis. RNAcentral's name for it is "lncRNA (ENSSANG00000031493.1)". The record is from RNAcentral. Lineage: Eukaryota; Metazoa; Chordata; Actinopteri; Cypriniformes; Cyprinidae.